UGCAAGUCGAACGAGGAGUCAAGUGCUUGCACUUGACUGAAAGUGGCGCACGGGUGCGUAACGCGUAUGCAACCUACCCUUAACAGGGGGAUAGCCCGGGGAAACUCGGAUUAAUACCCCAUAGUAUUAUUGAUAGGCAUCUAUUAAUACUUAAAGAUUUAUCGGUUAAGGAUGGGCAUGCGUCUGAUUAGUUAGUUGGUAGUGUAAUGGACUACCAAGACCAUGAUCAGUAGGGGUUCUGAGAGGAUGAUCCCCCACACUGGCACUGAGAUACGGGCCAGACUCCUACGGGAGGCAGCAGUAGGGAAUAUUGGUCAAUGGGCGAGAGCCUGAACCAGCCAUGCCGCGUG
RNAcentral lists this ribosomal RNA (350 nucleotides) under marine bacterium SIMO-IS111. Its description in RNAcentral is "bacterial SSU rRNA". It matches the Rfam family "Bacterial small subunit ribosomal RNA", at positions 56 to 403 of the family's 1533-position model. Lineage: Bacteria; Pseudomonadati; Bacteroidota. The record is from RNAcentral.